UCCCUGGUGGCCCAGUGGUUAAGGACUCAGCAUUGUCACUACUGCGGCUUGGGUUCGAUCCCUGGCCUGGGAA
This 73-nucleotide transfer RNA is filed under the name Sus scrofa (pig). It matches the Rfam family "tRNA". From Rfam's summary of the family: Transfer RNA (tRNA) molecules are approximately 80 nucleotides in length. Lineage: Eukaryota; Metazoa; Chordata; Mammalia; Artiodactyla; Suidae. The record is from Rfam by way of RNAcentral.